RNAcentral lists this ribosomal RNA (253 nucleotides) under uncultured bacterium. Its description in RNAcentral is "partial 16S ribosomal RNA". It matches the Rfam family "Bacterial small subunit ribosomal RNA", at positions 524 to 776 of the family's 1533-position model. The record is from RNAcentral.
CACGUAGGGCGCGAGCGUUGUCCGGAAUUAUUGGGCGUAAAGAGCUCGUAGGCGGCCUGUUGCGUCCGCUGUGAAAGCCCGGGGCUUAACCCCGGGUCGGCAGUGGAUACGGGCAGGCUAGAGGUAGGUAGGGGAGAAUGGAAUUCCCGGUGUAGCGGUGAAAUGCGUAGAUAUCAGGAGGAACACCUGUGGCGAAAGCGGCGCACUGGACCACAACUGACGCUGAGGCGCGAAAGCUAGGGGAGCAAACAGG